CGUACACUCCUGCGGGAGGCAGCAGUGGGGAAUAUUGGACAAUGGGCGCAAGCCUGAUCCAGCCAUGCCGCGUGAGUGAUGAAGGCCCUAGGGUUGUAAAGCCCUUUCACCGGUGAAGAUAAUGACGGUAACCGGAGAAGAAGCCCCGGCUAACUUCGUGCCAGCAGCCGCGGUAAUACGAAGGGGGCUAGCGUUGUUCGGAUUUACUGGGCGUAAAGCGCACGUAGGCGGACUAUUAAGUCAGGGGUGAAAUCCCGGGGCUCAACCCCGGAACUGCCUUUGAUACUGGUAGUCUUGAGUUCGGGAGAGGUGAGUGGAAUUCCGAGUGUAGAGGUGAAAUUCGUAGAUAUUCGGAGGAACACCAGUGGCGAAGGCGGCUCACUGGCUCGAUACUGACGCUGAGGUGCGAAAGCGUGGGGAGCAAACAGGAUUAGAUACCCCAGUAGUCCCAUG
RNAcentral lists this ribosomal RNA (453 nucleotides) under uncultured organism. RNAcentral describes it as "partial 16S ribosomal RNA". It matches the Rfam family "Bacterial small subunit ribosomal RNA", at positions 330 to 799 of the family's 1533-position model. The record is from RNAcentral.